CUGCUGCCUUCCGUAGGAGUUUGGACCGUGUCUCAGUUCCAAUGUGGGGGACCUUCCUCUCAGAACCCCUAUCCAUCGAUGCCUUAGUGGGCCGUUACCCCGCCAACAAGCUAAUGGAACGCAUCCCCAUCGAUGACCGAAAUUCUUUAAUAGUUCUACCAUGCGGAAGAACUAUGCCAUCGGGUAUUAAUCUUUCUUUCGAAAGGCUAUCCCCGAGUCAUCGGCAGGUUGGAUACGUGUUACUCACCCGUGCGCCGGUCGCCA
RNAcentral lists this ribosomal RNA (264 nucleotides) under uncultured bacterium. Its description in RNAcentral is "partial 16S ribosomal RNA". The record is from RNAcentral.